GCGGGCGCGGGAGGCAGGCGCUGGUUCGGGAGGCAGGCCCUGGUUCGGCGGGCGGGGGCGCGUGAGAGAAGGCCGCCGCUCUCCGCCUCGCUCAGACGCCCUCGCCUCUUUUCCCGGGAAGUGGAGGCCAGCCUCGCCCCACUAGCCGCCGCCGCCGCCAGCGAGGCUGCCCUACGCCGUGUGCCUGGCGGUGAGAGCUCAUCCAUCGGCAUGUCCCCGCAGCGAGCGGCCGCCGACGGCUCCCCGCGCCGGGCGCGCCUGCUCCUCGCCGCCGCCUGACAUGGCUCCCGGGCGCCCUAGGCCCUGUUCGCGCACACUGCCGGGCUUGCGCGCAGACUCGGUUCCGCUGAUUUGGGGUUCUUAGUGCUCAGUUUUAACAUUUCUCAUUCCCAUAUACAAGGACACUUGAGACAUGAAUGUGGCCAAUGACUUGAUGCUCAUGUGUGUUGUCAGCUGAGCCUUCAAGAGCAUCACCUUCCAGCUGGGGAGGGUUCUUCAUUCCAGGAGGCUCUAAACCCAGCUCUGAAAAUGAAACCACACCUAACAGCGUUCACUGUCAUCCAUGAUCUUACUGUGACUUUCUCUUCCACCCAGGAGGAUCAUCAGAGAAGGAAAAUGGCCUUGAACAAGAAAGUCCAAGGGAAAAACAACUUGGGUGUGAGAGGCCUACGUUGGAUCACCGGAGGCCAGUAGUUCCCAAUCAGCCUGGGAAGAAUAGUAAGACGUUUUCUCUCCUAAAAAGAGAAAGAGAAAGAGAAAGAGGAAGAGAAGGAGAAGGAGAAAGAGAAGGAGAAAGGAAAAGGAAACAAAAAACAAAAAACAAAAAACCAACAACUCAGUUUUAUUUUUCUGUAGUAUUUCUAUUCUUCAGUUGAUUGACUUCUGCAUUGAUUUUUGUUUCCUUUCUUUAGUGAACUUUGGAUUUAUUUUGUUGUUUUUUUUCCU
Long non-coding RNA from Rhinopithecus roxellana (golden snub-nosed monkey), 945 nucleotides. RefSeq lists it as uncharacterized. The transcript has 3 exons. Lineage: Eukaryota; Metazoa; Chordata; Mammalia; Primates; Cercopithecidae. The record is from RefSeq and is a predicted model, not a curated record.